UCUAGUGUAGCUCAGUGGCAGAGCACUUGCCUAGCAUGAUUAAGUCCCUUGGUUCAAUCCCUAGCACAAAAA
Molecule: transfer RNA, 72 nt
Filed under: Marmota marmota marmota (Alpine marmot)
Lineage: Eukaryota; Metazoa; Chordata; Mammalia; Rodentia; Sciuridae
Also listed under: 1 other name
Rfam family: tRNA
About the family: Transfer RNA (tRNA) molecules are approximately 80 nucleotides in length. Their secondary structure includes four short double-helical elements and three loops (D, anti-codon, and T loops).
Source: Rfam by way of RNAcentral